UGUGUGUGUGUACGUUGGUUGUUAUACGUGUUGCUGAAAUGCUGCUGCUGCUGCCUUUCGAUGUCUUAUCCUCGAGGGGGGAAAGAAUGUGUUGUGGGUGUGUGUGUGUGUGCGGUUAAAUGCGGGAAAGUUUGGCCGAACUGAUAGCAAGCGCACGCUGCAAGGAGAAGAAAAGUAGGAAAAAAUAACGGUAAAACGGUAUAAGAAGCGCUUGAAAACUACGAGGCGCCUCCAUAUUACUGUGUGGCUGUGAAGGAAGGACGAAAAAAAAGAGACGAAGCUCACAACAUCAAAGUAACACUUGAAGUGGCGCUGUGUGUUUUGCCUGCGUUCGGGGACGAGUGAUAUUGAAACACGGGUUUUCGGUAGGACGGCUGCUUCAACGUGCGGUCUUGGCCAGAGAUGUCACACCAUGAAGGGUUGGUGUGGAGAGACCGUCCUUUCAUCGAGCGUAGUAGUACCAUCCGGCGCGUUUUUUCUUUGCUCCGCUCAACAAUCGAGAACUUUCCCUGCUACGCUCCACGAUUAGCUCCAAUUGGUGCAACAUAACCGACCCUGCCAUGUUUCGAACCGGGAAAAUCGGGCAACAUGUUCGCCCGUUGCUCGAACGAACACUGGUUGCGGCCCUUUAGCGCUGCUGCGCUGGUGUGAUGUUGAUGAAAAAACAUGAAAGCUCACUACCCUUACACACACCUGAGACGUUGCAGGGGGUACCUCUUUCGGUAUCUGGCGGAGGCCACCACCCCGAGCUCAAUCGAAAACCAGCUGAUGGACGGCGAUGGGCUUGCUAACAACGCUGUGUGUCGGAUGAAGACGCUCUCAUUUCCCAACGGCCUGCUGUUGCGCCGCAAUGAGGCCGCAGAUGUGUGUGUGCUAACCAGACGUGUGCUGCUACGAACCGCAUCGGACAUCAAAUCCCGAUGGUUAUGUUUUAUUAGAUCAAUCAAUCCCCACACGAUUACGCUUCGUUGGUAAGCUAAUUUUUAUCCCGUGUAUCGACCAAAGGCUGCCGCUUGCCUUUGUAGUGUACAGGCUCUAGCGAAGAUGUCGAAAAGAAGCCCGAGAACAUAAGAAUGAGGUGCGCGCGAAGAGGUGCGCUGCAGAACAACACAACAAACCACUCCCGGAGCACAAGAAAUGUAGGUGAAACUCGUAAAAAAACGGCUCCAUCAGUCGUACAAUUUCUCCUCCUACCAGUCAGCACUGUUUGCGUGUUGUUCUACCCGAAACAACGCCCAAGCCUGGUUGGCUUACCGUUUGGCCCAUUUUACACACCUACCAGACCUGUGUGCAGUGACUUCUCUUGAGAUCGGUUUCACGAUCAGUUUAUUGAACUUCGGAACGGUUCGUCGUCACCAACCGAGGGGUUUUAUUUGCGUACGUGUGGGCAGCAGAAGUGGGUGAGCCGCCGCCUGCUGACCUUAAUCGAUGUUGACUUCUUUGCCAGAAGUUCUCCCGAAGCGAUCGUGGGAUCGUCCCCCCUCUUUAGUUCUGGUAAGGUGGGCAGAGGUUGUUGCUGUUACUUGAGAGACAGUGUACCGUUGCGGGCCCGAUGUUUGUGUGUGCCUUUUGACGACCAUGACCCAUUAAAUCGAGGUCCACACGAUCGUGAUCGCGCGUCAAUUACUGCGAGGCGGGUGGCUUACGCUUACUUCCUCGCUUGGGCAGGUUCGGGGUACACUACCAAGUUAUGCGGCUAUGUGUGUCAAACUAUCGGUGGGCAGUUCUUCCUUUCGCCUCCGACGGGGCAAUUUAACGAGGUGUUAGACCUUCGCGCGAAGGAUACCAGUGUUUUCGAACGAGUGAUGAUGCGUUAAAAUAUUCAAUGCUGUUAACAAGCAAAUGGACGUAGUUGGUGUCGUCUUCCGGUACUAGCGACCAGGAAAAGCUGCCUUGAGCAUGAAUGCACUGUGUACGUGCAAGGCUAAAGGCGAAGACAAGGCGAUAUCUACGCGAUCGUGAUCUAGAAAACCAAUAUUUUGGUUAAUGUAUCAUGUCCCAGCCAGUCUCAUCAAAACGUCCCUACAAUUUGGUGAUUCUGCGGUAUACUUUUCACUGCUCUAUUUGGUUGGUUAAUUUCUGUUUACCCUGCUCAUCCAACCGAUCUGUCGUACAUUAUGAUGCAUCAAAAUAUAACGAGUUGUUUUAUCUAAAAGCGUCCGCUGUGUUUUUUGGAGAUUUUCAAUUUCCAUCACACCCGGGAACCCCAAAACACAGGAAGCGAAGCCGGGCAGCGACUUGCAAGAACACGAUCCACAGGAAGACCGUUCGGUUAUGCACCGUUACUUUCGUUAAUUAGUGCUCGAACGAUCAGCGGGUCGAAAAAAGAAAGAAGAAAAGGGAAUUUAUAUUUAAAGCCAAACGGGAGACAACUCCAAAAGAAACCGGGUUGACCAGAACUUCAUCGUGGGGGGGGGGGG
Anopheles gambiae (African malaria mosquito) is the source of this 2420-nucleotide long non-coding RNA. RefSeq lists it as uncharacterized. The transcript has 3 exons. NCBI's taxonomy places the organism in Eukaryota, Metazoa, Arthropoda, Insecta, Diptera, Culicidae. The record is from RefSeq and is a predicted model, not a curated record.